UACAGAGGGGGCAAGCGUUAUUCGGAAUUAUUGGGCGUAAAGGGCGCGUAGGCGGCCUGGCAAGUGGAUGGUGAAAUCCCUCGGCUUAACCGAGGAACUGCCAUCCAGACUGCUUGGCUUGAGACCGGGAGAGGUGAGUGGAAUUCCCCAGUGUAGCGGUGAAAUGCGUAGAUAUUUGGGGAGGAACACCAGUGGCGAAGGCGGCUCACUGGACCGGUACUGACGCUGAGGAGCGAAAGCCAGGGGAGCAAAGCGGG
Molecule: ribosomal RNA, 257 nt
Filed under: uncultured bacterium
Lineage: Bacteria
Description: partial 16S ribosomal RNA
Rfam family: Bacterial small subunit ribosomal RNA
Source: RNAcentral